RNAcentral lists this ribosomal RNA (273 nucleotides) under uncultured bacterium. RNAcentral describes it as "partial 16S ribosomal RNA". It matches the Rfam family "Bacterial small subunit ribosomal RNA", at positions 524 to 796 of the family's 1533-position model. The record is from RNAcentral.
UACGAAGGGGGCUAGCGUUGUUCGGAAUUACUGGGCGUAAAGGGCGCGUAGGCGGCCCUGUUAGUCGAGUGUGAAAGGCCUGGGCUCAACCCAGGAACUGCGCUCGAUACGGCAGGGCUAGAGUGUGGGAGAGGUUGGUGGAAUUCCCAGUGUAGAGGUGAAAUUCGUAGAUAUUGGGAAGAACACCGGUGGCGAAGGCGGCCAACUGGACCACAACUGACGCUGAGGCGCGAAAGCGUGGGGAGCAAACAGGAUUAGAAACCCGUGUAGUCC